This 486-nucleotide ribosomal RNA is filed under the name uncultured bacterium. RNAcentral's name for it is "bacterial SSU rRNA". It matches the Rfam family "Bacterial small subunit ribosomal RNA", at positions 28 to 527 of the family's 1533-position model. The record is from RNAcentral.
GAUGAACGCUAGCGGCAGGCUUAAUACAUGCAAGUCAAGGGGGUAGCAAUACAACCGGCGCACGGGUGAGUAACGCGUACACAACAUACCAUAUACUGGGGUAUAGCUUUGGGAAACUGAAGGUAAUCCCCCAUAACAUUGCGAGAGGGCAUCUGAUUGCAAUUAAAGUUUCGGCGGUAUAUGAUUGGUGUGCGUUUGAUUAGCUAGUUGGUAGGGUAACGGCCUACCAAGGCGACGAUCAAUAGCUGGCGUGAGAGCGCGACCAGCCACACUGGAACUGAGACACGGUCCAGACUCCUACGGGAGGCAGCAGUAGGGAAUAUUGGACAAUGGGCGCAAGCCUGAUCCAGCCAUGCCGCGUGAUAGAUGAAGGCCCUCUGGGUUGUAAAUAUCUUUAUCUGGAAGAAACUCCUCUAUUCUUAGAGGCCUGACGGUACCAGAGGAAUAAGCACCGGCUAACUCCGUGCCAGCAGCCGCGGUAAUACG